CCGCACAAGCAGCGGAGCAUGCGGCUUAAUUCGACGCAACGCGAAGAACCUUACCAAGGCUUGACAUAUACAGGAAUAUGGCAGAGAUGUCAUAGCGGUAAAACGUCUGUAUACAGGUGGUGCAUGGUUGUCGUCAGCUCGUGUCGUGAGAUGUUGGGUUAAGUCCCGCAACGAGCGCAACCCUCGUUCUGUGUUGCCAGCAUUUAGUUGGGGACUCACAGGAGACUGCCGGGGUUAACUCGGAGGAAGGUGGGGAUGACGUCAAAUCAUCAUGCCCCUUAUGUCUUGGGCUGCACGCAUGCUACAAUGGCUGGUACAAAGGGCUGCAAUACUGCAAAGUGGAGCGAAUCCCAAAAAGCCAGUCUCAGUUCGGAUUGGGGUCUGCAACUCGACCCCAUGAAGUCGGAGUUGCUAGUAAUCGUAGAUCAGCAACGCUACGGUGAAUACGUUCCCGGGGCUUGUACACACCGCCCGUCACGUCACGA
This 485-nucleotide ribosomal RNA is filed under the name uncultured Actinomycetes bacterium. RNAcentral's name for it is "bacterial SSU rRNA". It matches the Rfam family "Bacterial small subunit ribosomal RNA", at positions 921 to 1407 of the family's 1533-position model. Lineage: Bacteria; Bacillati; Actinomycetota; Actinomycetes. The record is from RNAcentral.